CUUCUUAAAUCAAACAGAUAACCUAAAAACCUAAUUUCAUUAAACUUGCCGCCUUCUUCUCCUCCUCCUUACACAGUUCAAUCACCGCCCAUCGUCAACCAAAAUUAUGAAACAAAUCAUUGAUGCGUUUAUCGAAGAACGACAUCAACAAUCCGAUGUUUCUGCCGUUCAUCGAACAAUUCGCAACAGUAACAGUUGAUGCUUUAGAUGUUCAUUUUUGGUUUUCUUGUUCGUCGGUCGCUGAAAUUGAAGAAUAAAUUCGCGGGUUGCUGGGAUUGAAGAAUAUCGUCGCUAGUUGUAGGAAUCGAAGAAUAGGAGCUGACAGAGAGGAAGCUGGUCCAUCGACGGUGAUGCUUUGCUGGGUUUCCUUUUACUGCUAUGGUUAGUCUCAUGUGGUUGGUUGUUGUUUUUGUUGGACGGAAGAGGUGAAAGAUGCAGCGGCAAUUCUGGGUUGUGUGGGCGGCGGUAGCUGCUGUUCUUAGAUUCAGCUUAGAGUCGAGGAACUGAAGGCGAAGUUCCUGGUUCUUCAUCAUCUUCAAUCCUUCUUGUAGUUAAUAGUAUUCUUUUGGCUUUUUUCUAAAACCAGGGAAAUUAUUAUCUAGAUUCGGCCCCCUAGACCCGGUCCACGAAACAUUUAUGGACCUAUCCAAUGAGGUGUUAGAGAAAUGAAAAAAAAAAUGAAUAGAGAGAAAAGUAAGUUAGAUUUUCUAACAUUUCAUUGGAUAGGUGCAUGGAAAAUUUAUGGAUCAGGUUUAGGUAAGAAUUUCCCGAGUGAACAUGAGAAGCUAAAGAAAAUCCCUACAUCAACAAUAACAAGUUCUGAAAAUCGGUUUUAUCAUGAUGUUUAGAUCUUUGAGUUAAAUUUUCAGGUAUUGAAUUGAACAACAAUCAUUCUUCCGCCGAAGUGGUCAAGUUCGACAUAUUAUUUUUACUAAGUUUAUUCGAUAUUGUACAUUCAAUUACUCGCGAGUCGUUAUUUAUGUUAAAUCUAGAGUGGGAUUAACUCUUUAUAUUGUCCUCAUUAUUAUGCCUUUUAUCAGCAUUAUACAAAUUUUAUAUUUUUAUUUUGUUUUC
Mercurialis annua (annual mercury) is the source of this 1074-nucleotide long non-coding RNA. RefSeq lists it as uncharacterized. The transcript is spliced from 3 exons. The record is from RefSeq and is a predicted model, not a curated record. Lineage: Eukaryota; Viridiplantae; Streptophyta; Magnoliopsida; Malpighiales; Euphorbiaceae.